AUGGGAGAUGGAGACGGCGAGGGCGAGGAGGACGUCACGGACGAGCUCAGGUUUCAGGAUGCUCAUCACCAUAUGUCAGGACUCAGGAGUCGAAUCAAAACUGCGGUUCACUGUUCACAUUGGGUCUUCUAUCUGCUGGUAAAAGAACUCAAAGCAUGCUCGACGUGUACUAUUGGAAAAUCAAUAGGAGUGAUGCGGGAAGUCAUGGGAGAAAAUCUUUACAAGGAAGUGAUCGUCGCGGUGCCAAAGGAGGAUGAAGGCGAUUUUGGCUACAUCGUCAUCUGUGGGAAUGAAGUUCUUCACAGAGUUGCCAACUCCAUGGAAAAUAAGAAGCGGGACAUGAAGUUGUUAUCACAAGUCACAUGGUCACUGCAUAGCCAUUUCAUAUCGUCAUUGCGGGAAGUCAAAGAGAAGUUCAUAAUGAUAUGA
RNAcentral lists this ribosomal RNA (429 nucleotides) under Triticum aestivum (bread wheat). Its description in RNAcentral is "partial small subunit ribosomal RNA". The record is from RNAcentral. Lineage: Eukaryota; Viridiplantae; Streptophyta; Magnoliopsida; Poales; Poaceae.